RNAcentral lists this non-coding RNA (101 nucleotides) under Protocruzia adhaerens. Lineage: Eukaryota; Ciliophora; Spirotrichea. The record is from RNAcentral.
UAUCUUACAAAAACUCACCAAUGACCUUCUCAAAUUUAGAAAAACUAAUUGGCUUAUCGAUGACAACCUCGGCGCCGCAGUUGAGAAAGUAGUCAACCUCA